UUUGGAUUAGGUAAGCCAGGUAACUCAAACAUAUCCAGGGUAUGUUGAGCUGGAUUCGUAGUACAGGCCUCUGCUCUUCUCCCCCUUUCUUCACUCCAGGUAAUCACAGCUGAUCAGUACCUGCCUGGGCACCUCAGACCGACUGCUGAUUGGAUCCCCUCACCCUCAGCUGGCCUAUUAGCAGCCAGAGCCAGUCGUAAAGGAGGCAAUCCAGGAAGCCUUCUCGCUCUCUGACCUGUGCCUGCUGAUCACUCCAGAGCCUCUGCUGGAUAUGAAACAAGGGGAGGAGCUGCAGACAGGUGAGGGCGUUAAAGUGAACGUAUGAAGUCAGACUGCCAGACGACCAUUUUACACCUGGACAGAGAGGAGGAGGACAACGGGUGUUACUGGUUUAUCUCUCAGGUGGAGAAGAUGAGGAAGAGGACAGAUCUCCAGUCUCCAGCUGUCUGUCUCUGAAGAGUGAGCGGUCUAAAGGAACACUUCCAGACUUCAUUAACGAUCCUGGACCCUCAGACACAGAACAGAGAGCAGAGUCUCCAUUCUCCAGCUGUCUGUCUCUGAAGAGUGACCAGUCUAAAGGCUCUCCUCUAUACUUCAGUAAUGAACCUGGACCCUCAGACACAGAGUAAGAGUCUGUUUCUACUCUAAACUGACCUGAAGAGGAUUCAGUGUUUAUGUUACCUGAUUAUCUAAUCUGUUCUUUAAUAACUACAUGAGUGCAGUUCAGGAAUAAUCACAGUUGUUUACAGCAAAGAAACACAUUUGAAGUCAGUAAAGAAGCAAAGCAGAUUACAGUAAAAGUAAAGUACAGUUAAAACACAGUAGAGUACAGUAAAGAAACGCAGUAACCGUUAUUCAAAGAUAUUUCAGAAAUAGUUCUCACAUUACAAUUAAUACUUAAGAAUGAUCAGUCAAUUGCUUUUUGCAAUGGUGUACACUUAUUAUUAACCUGUUGUUGUAUCAUUAUAUUUGUGGCAUAAAACGGUUUUAAAAUGACAAUAAUGAUAAAAUGAGAAUAUUGACAUGAAUUUAUUAUUUCCAUCCAUCUUCUCCCGCGUAUCCGUGGUCGGGUCGCGGAGGUAGCAGUUCCAGCAGAGAGCCCACAUGUACC
Gymnodraco acuticeps is the source of this 1111-nucleotide long non-coding RNA. RefSeq lists it as uncharacterized. NCBI's taxonomy places the organism in Eukaryota, Metazoa, Chordata, Actinopteri, Perciformes, Bathydraconidae. The record is from RefSeq and is a predicted model, not a curated record. The transcript is spliced from 4 exons.